UACGAAGGGUGCAAACGUUGCUCGGAAUCAUUGGGCGUAAAGCGCACGUAGGCGGCUUGGCAAGUCGGAUGUGAAAUCCCUCGGCUCAACCAAGGAAGUGCAUCCGAAACUGCCGAGCUUGAGUACUUAAGAGGAUCGCGGAAUUCCCGGUGUAGAGGUGAAAUUCGUAGAUAUUGGGAGGAACACCAGUGGCGAAGGCGGCUCACUGGACCGGAACUGACGCUGAGGCGCGAAAGCGUGGGGAGCAAACGGG
This 253-nucleotide ribosomal RNA is filed under the name uncultured bacterium. Its description in RNAcentral is "partial 16S ribosomal RNA". It matches the Rfam family "Bacterial small subunit ribosomal RNA", at positions 524 to 776 of the family's 1533-position model. The record is from RNAcentral.